This 330-nucleotide ribosomal RNA is filed under the name uncultured eukaryote. RNAcentral describes it as "partial 18S ribosomal RNA". It matches the Rfam family "Eukaryotic small subunit ribosomal RNA", at positions 1470 to 1796 of the family's 1831-position model. The record is from RNAcentral.
CCCUUAGAUGUUCUGGGCCGCACGCGCGCUACACUGACGAAUGCAACGAGCUUAUAAUAACCUUGGCCGAAAGGUCUGGGUAAUCUCCAAAUUUCGUCGUGAUGGGGAUAGAUUAUUGCAAUUAUUAAUCUUCAACGAGGAAUGCCUAGUAAGCGCAAGUCAUCAGCUUGCGUUGAUUACGUCCCUGCCCUUUGUACACACCGCCCGUCGCUCCUACCGAUUGAAUGGUCCGGUGAAGCGUUCGGACCGUGGCCUUUGGACGGUUCGCCGUCUGUUGGCUGCGGGAAGUUCGUUAAACCUUAUCAUUUAGAGGAAGGAGAANUCGUAACA